Caerostris extrusa is the source of this 79-nucleotide non-coding RNA. The record is from the annotation of a GenBank genome assembly. NCBI's taxonomy places the organism in Eukaryota, Metazoa, Arthropoda, Arachnida, Araneae, Araneidae.
AACGGCCAUACUAUGCUGAAUAUACCGGUUCUCGUUAGAUCACCGAAGUCAAGCAUCAUUGGGCGAGGUCAGUACCUGG